Molecule: ribosomal RNA, 225 nt
Filed under: uncultured bacterium
Lineage: Bacteria
Description: partial 16S ribosomal RNA
Rfam family: Bacterial small subunit ribosomal RNA
Source: RNAcentral
AGCAACGCGUGGAUAACCUGCCUCACACUGGGGGAUAACAGUUAGAAAUGACUGCUAAUACCGCAUAAGCGCACAGUACCGCAUGGUACAGUGUGAAAAACUCCGGUGGUGUGAGAUGGAUCCGCGUCUGAUUAGCCAGUUGGCGGGGUAACGGCCCACCAAAGCGACGAUCAGUAGCCGACCUGAGAGGGUGACCGGCCACAUUGGGACUGAGACACGGCCCAA